Non-coding RNA from Phascolarctos cinereus (koala), 1484 nucleotides. Lineage: Eukaryota; Metazoa; Chordata; Mammalia; Diprotodontia; Phascolarctidae. The record is from RefSeq and is a predicted model, not a curated record.
UCUGGGAUCGGCUGCCAGAAACUCACAGUAGCCAGAAAUCUCUUCAGCAGGAUUCCUGGACUCUCUGGGCUUCCCCGCCCCCCCCAUCAGUGGGCUCCGGGAUCCGUUCCCAGCCUUGCACUUGGUCCCUGCCCCUCUCGGCAACCGCAACUUUUUGUCUGAUCUUGCACUGGGAUUUCAGUCUGGGCCAAGGCAUCACUGGCCUCUGGGAGCUGGGGUACAGUCUGACUUCCCUCCUAAGUCCCUCCUAGUGGCCCCCCUGACUUCCAGGGAUGGAAAUGCCAAGGGGAUGGUUUGAGAAAAACCUGGGAGGACUUCCACGGAUUGAUGUAAAGGAAGAAAAAAGAGCAUCGGAUCCAUGCUAGCAGGCUAAAUGUUCCCAGUUCCUUCUGCUGAUUCUCAUAAAGCAGGAACAUGAGGCGCCCUUCAGUGCCCAGGUCACCUUCCUCUGAAUGCUCUCCAUCUGAGUGAUGCCUUUCCUAAAACACAGCACCCAGAACUGAACACAAGAUGUGGGCUAAGCAGGACAGAGGACAGAGGCACUCCCCCUUCCUUACUCCAGCACCGUGAGACCUAUUAGCUUUGUGUCUGACAUUUCAGAGGACUCACACGUUGCUUUCCACUGAAACCUAAAGCAUGACAGCUAAGGAGGUCACCGAGGCAGAAGGGAAGAAAGCCUGAGACAAAGCAUUGCAGUUGGGGGGGGGGUGUCCCCUGCUUACAAGAUGAUCCAGCAAAGAAGAAUGAGGAGUAGUCAGACAGGUAGGAGGAUGACCAGGAAAUAACAUUGUCAUGGAACCCAAGGAUGGAGAAAAUGCCCAAGUGGUCAACAGAAUUGAAAAAAAAAACCUGCAGAGAGGUUGGGGUGGGGGAGUGAUGAGAAAAGGCCACAUGAAAGAGCUAUGAAGAGGCCAUCGUUAACGUUGGAGAGAGCAGAUUCAGUCAACUGGUAGGCUGGCGCCAUGCACAGAGAACCCACCCACCCAGAAAGAGGAGACCUGGCAGAGUUGGCAGCAGACCCAGAAAAGGCAUUGGGAGAUGAACUGAUUUCAUUUUCUGAGGGAGGCUUAGGGCUUCCUUCCGGCAGAGUUCUUGGAAAAGCUGCAUCCUGGUCCCUUCCCAGAAGGCAACUUCUCUGAAGCUUGGGGUGGGGACUCACCUGAGAAGUCUCCAGGGUCUGCCAGACAAUGCGCUAAAGGGAAUCAUUCUCUGAGGAGGGAAUCCGAGGACAGAGCAUCAGAUCCCAGGAAAGAGCCGGCGGAGCUUCUGACGGGCACAGACUGGAAUCAAUCCAACUCACUGUAAGGCUUUCUCUCCAGAGGUGCAAGACUAUGGAUGUGCAAAACUGCAUGGAACAUUGGGUCUUUGGGGGUAUCUAGAUUAGUUUUGCUAACUUGUUUCCUUUUCCUUCUUUUUUAUGCUUCAUUAUAAGGAAUGGCUGUUGGGGGCGGGGACACAUUGGGAAACACAAUUGAUGUAAAAAU